UCAACGGGGAGGAAAAAAAACACUCUUCUUUAGUCUCUCUUGUGCAUUUAAAACGUGGGGGAGCCGGUGUCAGAGGGAGAUUUCCAGCAGACGUCCGGUGCUAGCCAGCUAGCAGCACUCAAAUCGCUCGCGAAUCAACAAGUUGAAUCCCACAUCAGCGGCUAGCCGAGCUGGCCAGCUAGCUAGGAACUAGCUAGCAGCAACCGCACGUCCCAUGUUUGUCAACAAGCGCUAAACGCCGAAAGGCUAAUAUUUCCUUAAUCCUGGGCCUGGGUGGGAGAGCAUUCACUUCCCGGGUCUACUUUAACAGUGAGCAGCGGCUGCCGGCGAGCUAACGGCGCGACGGUGCGACGUCCUGGCCGCUUAGCUCCCGGGGCUAGCUCCCAGAAAAAGUUGGGCAACGGCUGCACUGAAACGCGACUAGGUUCGGUUAGGUGGCUAGCACGCUAACCCGUGGGGUGGCUAAGCGGCGUUCGAGGAAGCCCCGACGGCCGUCGAGGUCGACAACAAGUGUUUGUCCAGCGUCGUUUUCGUGCGACGCAGCGUCGCCACUUCGCCUCCUGCUCGGUGGAAGAGCGGCUUCCCUUCAGGGCUCGAACCAGGUGCACAAACUUUCAGGCCAAACUUAUUCCCGGCGAGGUCUCGACCUUCCCAGCGGACGCGACACGAUUCUAAAUGUUCCCAGCGACGUAUCCAGGGAAUGGUAUCCGACGGCUAAAGCAGCGCGGUGUAAAAUGCCGCCACGGCAGCGUCAGGACGUUAAAAGAAACACCGGGGGAUGAAGAGGGUACGAGGGGAUUGUUAGUAGCGACUGGGAGAGCGUCCAGCUGGAAGGAUGUCCUCGUGAGUCAAGGGGGAAACAGUCACGUGUCAGAAGGGAGGAGGGAGUACAGUCACAGGUAUGUGCACAGAGGACCACACGUCUGUUUCCAUACAAUCAGUGGCCUAUUUACAGUCACUGUGCAUUUAAAGCCACUGUACAAUUGCAAGAUUUACAACGAGGGAUGUGUGGGGAUUUGUGUAGUGGGGGAACGUGCUCAAGCGUCGCCAUCUGCAGGAUGCCUGAAUACAAUGCAUCUGUCCGGCUGUCCGUCUGUCCCGGCUCAGAGGAACUCAUUUUUGGCUGCCGUGCUCCUGUUUUGCUUUGAAAGGAAAAAUGACACACCAAGUAGGAGUUUGAACUGCAGACUGUUAAUUGCAGCGGAUUCGAUGGUAUUUUAGGUCUCAUUGGAUGAACAUUAAAAAACACACUGGCCAUUUUAUCUCCAUGGUCUCAUUUCAUGCUGCCAAAUGUUUCUGGCCAGACUGAGCCUGUAAUAACAGCUAUUUCUAAUAUGGGCGCCAAUGAUAUCUCUGUAAAGUCUGGUAAACGCCACACUGAUAUGUCACAGUAUACAGUUCUACAAGUGUUCACAUCUGUCUUACUGUUGGCAGUAAGAAAAUAUUGAUUUCUGUGGCUUUCGUCUAAAAGACCGGCAGAAUGUUCUUUCUAAAUGCAGGGGAACAUGAAUGACCCAGUUCCUACCACUGAUUCCACAUGAACAGUGCUGAACCUGAUGCGGGGGGCAUCAAAGGUAGUCCAGGAAAUACACAUUAAAAUAACAACUGACUGAUCCAUGGGUGCAAGUGUACUUGAAAUUUCAAACCAAGGUCAAAAACAAGUUUGUAUAAACUGGGCUACAGUCACACAACGUGCUAUGUAAUGCACUUUAAUUGAAGGGUUGAACUGAUUAAUUUAACCAUGUUGCUGGUUAAUUCUUAGUUUGUUAAUUUUGUUGCAUUUGUUAUGGUUUGUAGUUUAAAUAAUUAGACAUGAGUCCACAAGUUGCAAAAGCAAAGAAGGAAAUGGGUGUGUGUCAUUUACACAUUUGAGGAAGCUGAGCUUUGCUGCGUCAACAAGAGGAAAUGCCGACAGACGUACACCAUGUUGGUAAAAAAAGAAUACGCCUCUCUUUUAUAGGUCUCUUCCAUGAAUGUCUUUGGUUUUCCAGCUUUAGAGAAGUGAAGGAGGUCAGUAGGUCAUAGACACAAACUGCCCACAGCACAGUUCUUGUUACAUCAUCCCUGUACUGAGCUGUGGCAUUCUGUUUCUUCUCAAUGUGCAGAGAGGAAGGGUGGGUUCAGUGUCAGCAAAUGGUAAACUACCGUAGGUCAUUUUUACUUGCUGCUGUAAGACUUUACAACCUAAGCUGCUCCCAGUGAAUCACUGACAAUUGUAACUGUUUCUACAACUGUAACUAAUGCCAUCUUAUACUGUAGUCACCAUCCAAACUUCCAAAUGUUUGGGCAGUCUUUUUUUUUUAAUCCUGUGCAAUAUUCAGUCAAUCCAUGGUGGAAAUACCCAUCACCUCAGUAUGCAUGUGUGUAUAUAUAUGAUACAUCUUUAUUUUACUUUAAAUUGUAGAUAAUUUUGAUCCUGCUCUUGUUUUAUACUGCUGCUGCAACGUGGAAAUUUCCCCACUGUGGGACGAAUAAAGGACUAUCUUAUCUUAAACUGAAGCA
This is a long non-coding RNA of Betta splendens (Siamese fighting fish), 2502 nucleotides long. NCBI's taxonomy places the organism in Eukaryota, Metazoa, Chordata, Actinopteri, Anabantiformes, Osphronemidae. The record is from Ensembl.